CGCCUCACGCCGCAGAAUCUCGCGAGAAGAGCCGCGCAAGCCGGAAAGAUGGCGCCCCCCAGUUCCCGGGAGCCCAAGAGCCAGGCGGCGCCCAGCGCUACGAAACCGGACGGCGAGAUGGUGCUGCCGGGCUUCCCGGACGCGGACAGCUUCGUGAAGUUUGCUCUUGGGUCGGUGGUGGCAGUCACCAAGGCGUCUGGAGGCCUGCCACAGUUUGGUGACGAGUAUGACUUUUACCGAAGUUUUCCUGGCUUCCAGGCGUUUUGUGAAACACAGGGGGACAGGUUGCUCCAGUGCAUGAGUAGGGUGAUGCAGUAUCAUGGGUGUCGGAGCAACAUUAAGGACCGAAGCAAAGCGACUGAGUUGGAGGACAAGUUCGAUUUGCUAGUUGAUACCAACGAUGUGAUUCUAGAGAGAGUGGGUAUUUUACUGGACGAAGCGUCGGGUGUGAAUAAGCAUCAGCAGCCGGUCCUCCCUGCAGGCCUCGAGGUCCCCAAAACAGUAGUGUCCAGCUGGAACCGGAAGGCAGGAGAAUAUGGCAAAAAAGCCAAAUCCGAAACCUUCCGGCUGCUUCAUGCCAAAAAUAUCAUCCGGCCUCAGCUCAAGUUCCGAGAGAAGAUCGACAAUUCCAACACGCCGUUUCUCCCUAAGAUCUUCAUCAAGCCCAAUGCCCAGAAGCCCCUCCCUCAGGUUCUCUCUAAGGAAAGGCGGGAACGCCCCCAGGACCGGCCUGAGGACUUGGAUGUGCCCCCUGCCCUGGCAGAUUUCAUCCAUCAGCAGCGAACGCAGCAGAUUGAGCAGGACAUGUUUGCACAUCCUUAUCAGUAUGAACUGGAUCACUUUACUCCACCAGACUCGGUGCUUCAAAAGCCACAACCCCAGUUAUACAGACCUGUAGAAGAAACUCCCUGCCACUUUGUGUCCUCCCUGGACGGACUUGUGGAACUCAACGAGAAGCUCCUGAAUUGUGAAGCAUUUGCUGUAGACUUGGAGCACCACUCUUACAGAAGCUUCCUAGGACUGACCUGCCUGAUGCAGAUUUCCACCCGCACAGAAGACUUCAUUGUGGACACCCUGGAGCUUCGCAGCGACAUGUACAUUCUCAACGAGAGCCUCACCAACCCUGCCAUCGUGAAGGUCUUCCAUGGUGCCGAUUCCGACAUCGAGUGGCUGCAGAAGGACUUUGGGUUGUACGUGGUGAACAUGUUCGAUACCCAUCAGGCCGCACGCCUUCUCAACCUGGGCAGGCACUCGCUUGACCACCUGCUGAGGCUGUACUGUGGCGUGGAGUCCAACAAGCAGUACCAGCUGGCAGACUGGAGGAUACGGCCCCUGCCAGAGGAAAUGUUCAGCUACGCCCGGGACGACACCCACUAUCUGCUGUACAUCUAUGACAAGAUGCGGCUGGAGCUCUGGGAGCGAGGCAACGAGCAGCCUGCCCAGCUGCAGGCGGUGUGGCAGCGGAGCAGGGAUAUCUGUCUCAAGAAAUUCGUCAAACCGAUCUUCACUGACGAGUCCUAUCUUGAACUGUACCGGAAGCAAAAGAAGCAUCUCAACUCGCAGCAGCUGACAGCUUUCCAGCUGCUGUUUGCCUGGAGGGACAAAACAGCUCGCACGGAGGACGAGAGCUACGGAUACGUUCUGCCAAACCACAUGAUGCUCAAGAUAGCUGAGGAGCUGCCUAAGGAACCGCAGGGCAUCAUAGCUUGCUGCAACCCAGUACCGCCUCUUGUACGGCAGCAGAUCAAUGAGAUGCACCUUCUAAUCCGGCAGGCUCGAGAGAUGCCCCUGCUCAAGUCUGAGACUACAGCUGGAGUGAAGAAGAGCGGACCACGGCCCGGUGUUGAGAGGCUGGAGAAUGUUCUCUUUGGACCUCACGACUGCUCUCACGCCCCUCCGGAUAGCUACCCAGUCACCCCCGCUGCUGGGCCCGUGCCAGCGCGGAAGCAGGCAAGCCUCUUUGCUGACCCGAAAGAGGAGACUCCGCUGGACACCCAGUGCCUUCUCGCCAAAGCUGUCGUCACCGUACUCAGCGAACCCAGUGCUGAGGAGAAUGGAAAGACUCCACUAACGGUCGCACAGAAAAAGGCCCAGAACAUCAUGGAGUCCUUUGAAAACCCAUUCAGGAUGUUCCUGCCUUCGCUAGAACACCGGGCCCACAUCUCCCAGGCAGCAAAGCUCGAUCCGUCCUCGAAAAUCUAUGAAAUCAGCAACCGUUGGAAGCUGGCCAGCCAAGUACAAGUACAAAAAGAAGCUAAAGAAACUGCCAAGAAGAAGGCAGCUGAGCAAACAGCCACCCGGGAACAGGCCAAGGAAGAGUACAGAGCCACCGUGGAGCAGGCCAUCUCGGUGCGACAGCAGGCUGCGCUAGAAAACGCUGCCAAGAAGAGAGAGCGCACGACAAGUGACCCAAGGACCACAGAACAGAAACAGGAGAAGAAGCGACUCAAGACUUCCAAGAAGCCGAAGGACCCAGCUCCACCCGUGGGAGAGUUCACUCCCUAUGACUACAGCCGGACGGACUUCAAGGCUUUCGCUGCAGAUGGCAAAUCCAGACCUUCCUCCCAGUUUGACCCGAGUAAGCAGGCUGCAGCUGGCAAGGUAGGAAGUGCAGCGGAAGGGCUGAAGGCAGCUCCACGCAGAGCACUUGCUCGGCUCAGCGUGCUAGUGCAGGCCCUCGGCGCUGGUCCCCAGCCCUGCAAAAUGAGCGGAAACGGAAACGUCGCGCAGCGUCCCCGCGUGCCGGCUGUGCUGCUGUCUGACCUCGCGCGGCGAUGGGUCCAGGGUUCCCUUUCCUGCGCGUGUCUUCCCCGACCCAGGCAGAACCCAUCAGCUGGCCCAGCAGAGGAAAAACCAGGAGCUGUCAGAGCUGGCGUGCAGUUUCAAAGGAGUUACUGUUGACUCCUGUGGGAAUCCAAGUCGCAGGCAGAGCUCUCCCUCGCGUGUGCCCCACCAGGGUCCGUGCCAGGACCUGUUCCGCCUCUCGGCCUCCCCUCCUGAUGGGCGGAGGUGGCAGCUGCAGAAACCCGCAGUGCACCCCCUGCCCGUGUCUCCAGGAUCAGCUGGCGGGUUAGGAAGCUUCCGUGUCCGCUUCUUGUCAGCUUAAUGGUUCUUAUUGUUUCAGAAAUGCAUUACAGCCAAAAAAGUGAAACAGUCAGUGGGGAACAAAAGCAUGUCCUUCCCAGCGGGCAAGUCAGACAGAGGCUUCAGGCACAGCUGGCCAA
RNA transcript from Chinchilla lanigera (long-tailed chinchilla), 3224 nucleotides. It is a transcript of the gene named exosome component 10, with no coding region annotated. The transcript has 24 exons. The record is from RefSeq and is a predicted model, not a curated record. Lineage: Eukaryota; Metazoa; Chordata; Mammalia; Rodentia; Chinchillidae.